Molecule: long non-coding RNA, 1898 nt
Organism: Ictalurus punctatus (channel catfish)
Lineage: Eukaryota; Metazoa; Chordata; Actinopteri; Siluriformes; Ictaluridae
Exons: 3
Source: RefSeq, a predicted model, not a curated record
AAUUGUCAUAUUUCGUGGCCACACCGUAUUAAAAAAUAACCACUAUGUCACACUAAAUCAGAUUCAUUAGUAAAUAUUUUAAUUCCUUCCCAAGUUCAGCACUUUUUCAGUCAUUGCUUGCUCUUUAUUAUUAUUUAUAGUCAUUAUUGCCCUUACUUGAUGAUCCAGUUAAGAGGAAGGAUCAUUUCUAAGCAGGGUGCUAAUAUUUCCUCAUAGUUCAUUUCCACAUCUUAACACUACUUAAACGUAUCUACUGAUCUGUGGCACGAUUACUUUUUCAGGGUUAUUUUAAGACAAAAGAUUUUAAAAUGGCUCACUUCUGACAGAUCUCAUGAAUGACAUCAAAAAAUGUCCAGAAAAGGCUGCGGUGAGCAGAAAAGCAUCUCAGAAUGCCCAACCCAUUGAACCUUGGAGCAGAUGGACAACAACAGCAUGUAGUUACACUCCUGUCGAAUCUGAGGCUACAAUGGGCACAGACUGACCAAAACUGGACACAAUAAUAUGGUCUCCUGGUAUAUGAGUAUAUUCAAGAUAUUUUCACUUGAUGAGAUAUUUUAAGAAUUAAAACAGGCAGGAGUGGUUAAGUUUGUGACAAGAUAAAAAAAAAACAACAACAUUCAGAAACAUCAAGAUAACUGGCCUAACUAUAGAGUUAUAAAUAUACUAAUUACACAUGUGCUCUAGAGUUAAUCUCAGUGGAUAUGACUGCUGUGAAUUUUUUUUUUCUACUAUGUCUAAACAUAAUACUCCUAUCCCUGCCCUUUCUUCUAAUUUCCACUUAGUGUUAAUAACAAUGUUUCAGUAAAUGAGGCUAAAUGGGCAACUUUUUUCUAUAUAUAAUUUAGACACCUGGCAAUCAGGUUAGUGGUGACUCACCAGACAAGGAUAUUUUAAUACCAUUACCAAAGAUACACCACAAAGGGAAAGACGCUUCAUGAUGAUUUCAUUUUCUGUAAACAUUAGCCACUUCUGUCUAACAAAGUCCACAUGUCAGUCCAUACAUGGUACUGAACUCUACACCACACACAAGUACGUGUCAGCAUGAUAUUUCUCCACUUCCUAUGUGUCACUUGCCAUGUAUUUCAUUAUAAACGACUCUUUAACUUGGACAAUAAGUAAAUAAGUUUUAAAAGAGAAAAUCCAUCCUGAACGACUUGCAUAUUACAUUUUACAAUUAACGUGCUCUUCAGUGGCAUGAAACAUUUAUUUUAUUUGACUUUUGUAGUUUAAACGUGACAUGAUUAAACUGAAUUUAGACUGGAUUUACACAAUUUAACCAGUUCAAAAGUUUACAUACGCUUGAUUAUUAAUACUGUGUGUCGUUACCUGGAUAAUCAAAAAUUGUGUUUAUGUUUUGUGAGAGUUCUUCAUGAGUUCCUUGUUUGUCCUGAGCAGUUAAUCUGCCCACUGUUCUUCAGAAAAAUCCUCCAGGUCCUGCACAUUCACUGCUUUUCCAGCAUCUUCUGCAUAUUUGACCCCUUUCCAGCAGUGGCUAUAUGAUGGUGAGAUCCGUCUUUUCACAUUGAGGACAACUGAACACAACUAUUACAAAAGGUGCAAACAUUCACUGAUGAUCAAGAAGGCAACACGAUACAUUAAGAUCAGGGGGGUGUAAACUUUUGAACAGGAUAAUCAGUGUAAAUUGUUUUGUCUUCUGUGGAAACAUGUAGAUAUCUUAUGUAGCUUCUGAAGGAAUGAAAACUAGUGAAAGUGAAACUAAAUGGAAAAAAAAGAUCUUUAAACAAAAUAAUAACAAAUUACACCAAUCAUUCUGUUCAAAAGUUUACCCCCCCGCCCUCCCCGACUCUUAAUAUAUCAUGCUUGUUUUCAACAGUGAAAUCUGACAGCUAUCCCUUGCAUUUGUUUCUUCUAUUAAACGACAACGUAACUGCUCUAGC